GCUUCCAUAGCUCAGUUGGUCAGAGCUUCGUACUAAUAAUUACUUCAAGUAAUAGUUGGUGAUGCGGAGGUCGCAGGUUCAAGCCCUGCUGGGAGCA
Non-coding RNA from Mariannaea sp. PMI_226, 97 nucleotides. Lineage: Eukaryota; Fungi; Ascomycota; Sordariomycetes; Hypocreales; Nectriaceae. The record is from the annotation of a GenBank genome assembly.